CAAUAGCGUAUAUUAAAGUUGUUGCAGUUAAAAAGCUCGUAGUUGGAUUUCUGUGAGAGUGCCGGUGUCGGCUGAUGCUUGUACGCAGGCGCUCUUACAUCCUUCUGUUAACUGAUCUUGGCAUUUUAUUGCUGGUUCAGGGCUCAGAUAUUUUACCUUGAGAAAAUUAGAGUGUUUCAGGCAGGCUUAUGCCGGAAUACAUUAGCAUGGAAUAAUGGAACAGGACCUGUGCGUCUUUCGGGGCGCCAGUCUCCGUUAUUGGUUUCGGGGACUAAAGUAAUGAUUAAUAGGGAUAGUUGGGGGCAUUAGUGUUUAAUAGUCAGAGGUGAAAUUCUCGGAUUUGUUAAAGACUAACUUAUGCGAAAGCAUUUGCCAAGGAUGUUUNCAUUAA
RNAcentral lists this ribosomal RNA (391 nucleotides) under uncultured eukaryote. Its description in RNAcentral is "partial 18S ribosomal RNA". It matches the Rfam family "Eukaryotic small subunit ribosomal RNA", at positions 592 to 976 of the family's 1831-position model. The record is from RNAcentral.